GGACUACCGGGGUAUCUAAUCCUGUUUGCUACCCACGCUUUCGCGUCUCAGCGUCAGUAUCUGCCCAGAGAGCCGCCUUCGCCACUGGUGUUCCUCCCGAUAUCUACGAAUUUCACCUCUACACCGGGAAUUCCGCUCUCCUCUUCAGUACUCCAGCUCCGUAGUAUCAAGUGCACUUCCGGGGUUGAGCCCCGGGCUUUCACACCUGACUUGCGAAACCGCCUACACGCGCUUUACGCCCAGUAAUUCCGAGCAACGUUUGCACCCUCUGUCUUACCGCGGCUGCUGGCAC
Molecule: ribosomal RNA, 292 nt
Filed under: uncultured bacterium
Lineage: Bacteria
Description: partial 16S ribosomal RNA
Source: RNAcentral